AAAUCUUGCGUUGCUUCAGUGUCCCAGCACUGGAUACACCCUUGCCUAUCUGAAAGAUCCAUCGACGAUGAUUGGACAGGCUACAAUCUACAUACGUCCACUUCAACAGGAUCUACCCUUAGAUUGUCCAUUUGUUGUUGUUGUUAGGAGAGCUCACGUCCUGCCUCUAGUCCAGUCAUCCCCUGCAUCACUUGUCAGAAGGAAGUUCCCUUUUCAGAGAUGAAGCUGCACAGAUUGAGCUGCAAUGGGACACCCAUGCAGGAAUCAGAAAGAGAACAAGAGGGAGGCCAAAGUGAAGAAAAUGAUAGUGAGACAGCCCUAGUCAGUGACAGUGUUCCAGUGAGGCCUGAAACAUCAGCUGAGAGUGCAG
Molecule: long non-coding RNA, 370 nt
Organism: Coregonus clupeaformis (lake whitefish)
Lineage: Eukaryota; Metazoa; Chordata; Actinopteri; Salmoniformes; Salmonidae
Exons: 3
Source: RefSeq, a predicted model, not a curated record